Theobroma cacao (cacao) is the source of this 1262-nucleotide non-coding RNA. Lineage: Eukaryota; Viridiplantae; Streptophyta; Magnoliopsida; Malvales; Malvaceae. The record is from RefSeq and is a predicted model, not a curated record.
AGAAACAGAAUGGCAGUUGACAGAUUUCCCAUCGAGUAUCAUCGUGGAGAUAUUCUUAAGGCUUCCUGUAAAGGCCCUCGGCAAAUGCAGGUGGUAGAGGAUUCUGGCACAAACCGCUUCUGGUUCGAGAACAUGAAUUUCGCAAAACAAUUUGACUUACAGAACUAUGAAUGUGACCUUGUCAAUUCUUGCAAUGGGUUGGUUUGCCUAUCCGGGGUUCAAGAGGGAUCAAUCUAUGUAUGCAACCCAGUUUUAGGUGAGUACAUUACUAUUCCGGUGCCUGAUGAUUAUGGGAGAUAUAAUAAAUCUUUUGCUUUAGGCUUCAAUGUCAGAACUAAUGAAUUCAAGGUGUUACAUACUUUUAAAGUGCUGCCGUAUCUACUAGAGGCUGAAAUAUACACUCUGGGUACAGGAUCAUGGAGAAGCAUUGGAAAUGCACUUGGACCUGUUAGGAGAAGUUCCUGCACCGCCUCAAUUCAAAUUAGACAUGCUUUCAUUCGAUCGUUUGAGGUUGGGGGUGUUUGAUGGCUGUCUAUCUGCAUGUUGUUAUCGUGCCAACGGUGCUUGGGAAUUAGAAAUUUGCGUUACGAAGGACUAUGGUGUCAAGGAAUCCUGGACUACACAGUUUCGAAUAAAUCCUUAUGUGACUGACUGCAAGACUGACUACUAUUAUCCACUAAUCUUUUUGAAGAAUGGGGAAAUCCUGAUUUCCUUCAAUGAUGAGUUUGUAGUUUGCUACAAUCUGGAAAAAGGAAGCCUUCGAGACACUAGAAUUUUUCGAACCAUGGGAGAAUUCACCACAAUUGGAUACACCCCAUGCUUUGUUUCACUGGAUGAUUUUGCUAAAGGAGAACAGAUAUCAAGGAAGAGAAGCAGUGGGAAGGAUGGCAGCACCUGCUUUUGACAAGGUCUUCUGUAAAAGUCACUCCAAGUCAAGGACUCAAGGGAAGGGAACUUAGCAUCCUUUUAGCGGUUAGCUACGGGCAGUUAAAGCUGUGAUAUCAAAGUGAAAGUCUUGGAGAACAAACAGAGCAAUCCCGUUGUGAAGUUCCAUUUUUGAGAAAUCUUCAUUUACCCUAUUAAGUUUAUAUGAAGGGUUUUGUUGAUGUUUUGAUUUACCUUCAUUACAUUGUUAAUUAUAGUAAGUAACACCGUUUCUGUGAAGACCAAAAAUGCAGAUAAAGUUAUAAUUACAUUGUUCUUUUGAUAUGACUGGAAACUUUCAUUUUAAUUUUUAAAGCAGCUAUUAGAUGCUGCAACUU